GGAAUCUUCCACAAUGGACGAAAGUCUGAUGGAGCAACGCCGCGUGAGUGAAGAAGGUUUUCGGAUCGUAAAGCUCUGUUGUUGGUGAAGAAGGAUAGAGGCAGUAACUGGUCUUUAUUUGACGGUAAUCAACCAGAAAGUCACGGCUAACUACGUGCCAG
RNAcentral lists this ribosomal RNA (161 nucleotides) under uncultured bacterium. Its description in RNAcentral is "partial 16S rRNA". It matches the Rfam family "Bacterial small subunit ribosomal RNA", at positions 358 to 511 of the family's 1533-position model. The record is from RNAcentral.